CCAGUUUUGGCUCAGAGAGUAAAGCGUCUGCCUGCAAUGCAGGAGACAUGGGUUCAAUCCCUGAGUCAGGA
This 71-nucleotide transfer RNA is filed under the name Bos taurus (domestic cattle). It matches the Rfam family "tRNA". From Rfam's summary of the family: Transfer RNA (tRNA) molecules are approximately 80 nucleotides in length. Their secondary structure includes four short double-helical elements and three loops (D, anti-codon, and T loops). Lineage: Eukaryota; Metazoa; Chordata; Mammalia; Artiodactyla; Bovidae. The record is from Rfam by way of RNAcentral.